This 746-nucleotide long non-coding RNA is filed under the name Daucus carota (carrot). RNAcentral describes it as "long non-coding RNA (DCAR_LNC004579)". The record is from RNAcentral. Lineage: Eukaryota; Viridiplantae; Streptophyta; Magnoliopsida; Apiales; Apiaceae.
ACUCCUUCAGCUAGGCAUCUGUAAAGACCUAAACUGAUAAUUUAAAUGCAAAGUUCACAUUUCGAAGCCGGCGAUCAACAAAACUCUUGCCAAUGACAUCCAUCAAGUUGCUCAUCAGAUCACCACUCUCACCCUACUUCAACCCUCCCACAUUUCAAAUCUUUUAUAAAAUCCUGGGCAACCCAAAUUUUUUUUUUUGGAUUUUUUGACAUCUUCAACUGUAAUUGAUGAUCAGUCGGAGCAAUAAAGGAGCAAGUCAUGGGGCACCAUGUGUCUCCGGCCAAUCGGUGUCGACUAGCGGCAGCGUGGGCUCUCCUACAACCGGGAGUGAGGCGAUUGGCAACACUCCCCCAGUGAUAAGACUUCUUUUACAGUUGAUCAUGUAGAUGCUCAUGCUGGUGAUGUUGCAUCUCAAGCUACUUAUAUGUGAGUGCUUAAUUUGCUGUGUUUUUUGAGGAUUUUAUUGCAGGGAAUCGAGUGUGAUUGAUUUGCUUUUACAAUUGAGACCGGAUUCUAUGGUGAUUUGAUUAUAUAUUUUGAUUUUGGAGCAAUUUUGUGAUCAUUGGAUGGUAAUUAUUGAAUUUAGAAAAGUGAUUUUUUUUUCUGUGUUUGUUUUUGUGUUUGGACUAAUUACUACCGUCUGAGCAUGAAUUCUGCUAACUGUGUGUAUUAAGUGUUUUACUAUAUUCUUAGUUUUGUUGUGAUGAGACAGUGAAAAAAAAGGGGUCAACAAGCAGUCAGAGGGG